UGUAUCUGAAGUCUGACGAGGAUGAGAACCUCCGGGGGCAAGAGGUUCGACUCGAGCGAAGCGAGAGAACGUUGCGUCAGC
Molecule: small RNA, 81 nt
Filed under: Salmonella enterica
Lineage: Bacteria; Pseudomonadati; Pseudomonadota; Gammaproteobacteria; Enterobacterales; Enterobacteriaceae
Also listed under: 3 other names
Description: partial RtT sRNA
Rfam family: RtT RNA
About the family: This family represents a bacterial cis-regulatory element known as RtT RNA. The exact function of RtT is unknown although it is thought that it may be involved in changing the cellular response in relation to amino acid starvation.
Source: RNAcentral